UCCGUAGGUGAACCUGCGGAAGGAUCAUUACCGAGUGAGGGCCCUCUGGGUCCAACCUCCCACCCGUGUUUAUUUUACCUUGUUGCUUCGGCGGGCCCGCCUUAACUGGCCGCCGGGGGGCUUACGCCCCCGGGCCCGCGCCCGCCGAAGACACCCUCGAACUCUGUCUGAAGAUUGAAGUCUGAGUGAAAAUAUAAAUUAUUUAAAACUUUCAACAACGGAUCUCUUGGUUCCGGCAUCGAUGAAGAACGCAGCGAAAUGCGAUACGUAAUGUGAAUUGCAAAUUCAGUGAAUCAUCGAGUCUUUGAACGCACAUUGCGCCCCCUGGUAUUCCGGGGGGCAUGCCUGUCCGAGCGUCAUUGCUGCCCUCAAGCCCGGCUUGUGUGUUGGGCCCCGUCCCCCGAUCUCCGGGGGACGGGCCCGAAAGGCAGCGGCGGCACCGCGUCCGGUCCUCGAGCGUGUGGGGCUUUGUCACCCGCUCUGUAGGCCCGGCCGGCGCUUGCCGAUCAACCCAAAUUUUUAUCCAGGUUGACCUCGGAUCAGGUAGGGAUACCCGCUGAACUUAAGCAUAUCAAUAAGCGGAGGA
This 586-nucleotide ribosomal RNA is filed under the name Penicillium crustosum. RNAcentral describes it as "eukaryotic LSU rRNA". The stretch from base 207 to 359 matches the Rfam family "5.8S ribosomal RNA". The record is from RNAcentral. Lineage: Eukaryota; Fungi; Ascomycota; Eurotiomycetes; Eurotiales; Aspergillaceae.